This 435-nucleotide ribosomal RNA is filed under the name uncultured bacterium. RNAcentral describes it as "partial 16S ribosomal RNA". It matches the Rfam family "Bacterial small subunit ribosomal RNA", at positions 29 to 507 of the family's 1533-position model. The record is from RNAcentral.
AGCGAAUGCUGGCGGCAGGCUUAACACAUACAAGUCGAGCGGGCAUCUUCGGAUGUCAGCGGCAGACGGGUGAGUAACACGUGGGAACGUACCCUUCGGUUCGGAACAACUCUGGGAAACUGGAGCUAAUACCGGAUACGCCCUUAUGGGGAAAGGUUUACUGCCGAAGGAUCGGCCCGCGUCUGAUUAGCUAGUUGGUGGGGUAACGGCCUACCAAGGCGACGAUCAGUAGCUGGUCUGAGAGGAUGAUCAGCCACACUGGGACUGAGACACGGCCCAGACUCCUACGGGAGGCAGCAGUGGGGAAUAUUGGACAAUGGGCGCAAGCCUGAUCCAGCCAUGCCGCGUGAGUGAUGAAGGCCUUAGGGUUGUAAAGCUCUUUUGUCCGGGACGAUAAUGACGGUACCGGAAGAAUAAGCCCCGGCUAACUUCGUG